RNAcentral lists this small nuclear RNA (62 nucleotides) under Cervus hanglu yarkandensis (Yarkand deer). RNAcentral describes it as "U7 small nuclear RNA (ENSCHYG00000013772.1)". It matches the Rfam family "U7 small nuclear RNA". From Rfam's summary of the family: Animal histone pre-mRNAs are spliced by a different mechanism than nuclear pre-mRNAs and self-splicing introns. This processing involves the U7 snRNP, which contains only one RNA species: U7. Lineage: Eukaryota; Metazoa; Chordata; Mammalia; Artiodactyla; Cervidae. The record is from Rfam by way of RNAcentral.
GAGUGUUACAGCUCUUCUGGAAUUUGUCCAGCAGGUUUUCCGGUUCACACCAGAAAGCCAAA